RNAcentral lists this transfer RNA (65 nucleotides) under Jacobsonina aliena. Its description in RNAcentral is "tRNA-Arg". Lineage: Eukaryota; Metazoa; Arthropoda; Insecta; Blattodea; Blattellidae. The record is from RNAcentral.
GAGUAAGAAGCAAUAAGUGCAAUUAGUUUCGACCUAAUAAAUUGGUAUUGAAUUACCCUUACUUU